ACUUACGGCCAAACCACUCUGAAAGCGCCCGAUCUCGUCUGAUCUUGGAAGCAUUCCAGGUCCGGCCUGGUUAGUACCUGGAUGGGAGACCUCCUGGGAAUACCAGGUGUCAUAGGCU
RNAcentral lists this ribosomal RNA (118 nucleotides) under Xenopus laevis (African clawed frog). The record is from RNAcentral. Lineage: Eukaryota; Metazoa; Chordata; Amphibia; Anura; Pipidae.